GACUUCUGGUUUAAUGCACCUGGCCCGCGGCCCACAAGGCCUGUGAGUGUAACAGGGCGGCUGGAACUGGAUCUUUUACUUUGAAAAAAUUCGCGUGCAUGGAAUAAUAAUCUAGGACUUCGGUUCUAUUUUGUUGGUUUCUAUAACUGAAGUAAUGAUUGAGAGGGAUGCUAGUAUUGGCCGGUCAGAGGUGAAAUUCUUGGAUUCGGUCAAGACUAACUUAUGCGAAAGCAUUCACCAAGGAUGUCUUCU
Molecule: ribosomal RNA, 252 nt
Filed under: uncultured Cercozoa
Lineage: Eukaryota; Cercozoa
Description: partial 18S ribosomal RNA
Rfam family: Eukaryotic small subunit ribosomal RNA (bases 41-252)
Source: RNAcentral